Molecule: non-coding RNA, 2019 nt
Organism: Macaca mulatta (Rhesus monkey)
Lineage: Eukaryota; Metazoa; Chordata; Mammalia; Primates; Cercopithecidae
Source: RefSeq, a predicted model, not a curated record
UGUUUGUUGCCUGGUACUCCAUCUAUCCACCAGCAUAAGCUCCCGCGGAGUUGCAGCAGCCGGUCUCCUGGCACGCAGCCUCCCGGGGCCCAGGAUGGCUGGAAUGGCCUUAGUCAUGAGGCUUUUGCAAUUGUUUCAAGGCGGGAUUAUGCAUCAGAAGCAAUCAAGGGAGCAGUUGUUGGUAUUGAUUUGGGUACUACCAACUCCUGCACGGCAGUUAUGGAAGGUAAACAAGCAAAGGUGCUGGAGAAUGCCGAAGGUGCCAGAAUCACCCCUUCAACUGUGGCCUUUACAGCAGAUGGUGAGCGACUUGUUGGAAUGCCGGCCAAGCGACAGGCUGUCACCAACCCAAAGAAUACAUUUUAUGCUACCAAGCGUCUCAUUGGCCGGCAAUAUGAUGAUCCUGAAGUACAGAAAGACAUUAAAAAUGUUCCCUUUAAAAGUGUCCGUGCCUCCAAUGGUGAUGCCUGGGUUGAGGCUCAGGGGAAACUGUAUUCUCCAAGUCAGAUUGGAGUAUUUGUGUUGAUGAAGAUGAAAGAGACUGCAGAGAAUUACUUGGGGCACACAGCAAAAAAUGCUGUGAUCACAGUCCCAGCUUAUUUCAAAGACUCGCAGAGACAGCCACUAAAGAUGCUGGCCAGAUAUCUGAACUGAAUGUGCUUCAGGUGGUUAACGAGCCCACAGCUGCUGCUCUUGCCUAUGUUCUAGACAAAUCAGAAGACAAAGUCGUUGCUGUAUAUGAUUUAGGUGGUGGAACUUUUGAUAUUUCUAUCCUGGAAAUUCAGAAAGAGUAUUCGAGGUGAAAUCCACAAAUGGGGACACUUAGGCGGGGAAGACUGACCAGGCCUUGCACAUUGUGAAGGAGUUCAAGAGAGAGAGAUGGGUUGAUUUGACCAAAGACAACAUGGCACUUCAGAGGGUACGGAAAGCUGCUGAAAAGGCAGACUGACAUCAAUUUGCACUAUCUUACAAUGGAUUCUUCUGGACCCAAGCAUUUGAAUAUGAAGUUGACCCGAAUAUGAAGGGAUUGUCACUGAUCUAAUCAGGAGGACAAUAGCUCCAUGCCAAAAAGCUAUGCAAGAUGCAGAAGUCAGCAAGAGUGAUGUAGGAGAAGUGGUUCUUGUGGGUGGCAUGACUAGGAUGCCCAAGGUUCAGCAGACUGUGCAGGAUCUUUUUGGCAGAGCCCCAAGUAAAGCUGUCAAUCCUGAUGAGGCUGUGGCCAUUGGAGCUGCCAUUCAGGGAGGUGUAUUGGUUGGUGAUGUCACGGACGUGCUGCUCCUUGAUGUCAUUCCCCUGUCUCUGGGUAUUGAAAGUCUAGGAGUUGUCUUUACCAAACUUAUUAAUAGGAAUACCACUAUUCCAACCAAGAAGAGCCAGGUGUUUUCUACUGCCACUGAUGGUCAGACAGAAGUGGAAAUUAGUGUGUCAGCGUGAGCGAGAGAUGACUGGAGACAACAAACUCCUUGGACAGUUUACUUUGAUUGGAAUUCCACCAGCGCCUUGUGGAGUUCUUCAGAUUGAAGUUACAUUUGACAUUGAUGCCAAUGGGAUCACACAUGUUUCUGCUAAAGAUAAAGGCACAGGAUGUGAGCAGCAGAUUACAAUCCAGUCUUCUGGUGGGUAAGCAAAGAUGAUAUUGAAAAUAUGGUUAAAAAUGCAGAGAAAUAUGCUGAGGAAGAUCAGCGAAAGAAGGAACGAGUUGAAGCAGUUAUUAUGACUGAAGGAAUCAUUCAAGACACAGAAACCAAAAUGGAAGAAUUCAAGGACAAAUUGCCUGCUGAUGAGUGCAACAAGCUGAAAGAAGAGAUUUCCAAAAUGAGGGAGCUCCUGGCUAGAAAAGACAGUGAAACAGGAGAAAACAUUACACAGGCAGCAACCGCUCUUCAGCAGGCAUCAUUGAAGCUCUUCGAAAUGGCAUACAAAAAGAUGGCAUCUGAGUGAGAAAGCUCUGGAAGUUCUGGAACUGGGGAACAAAAGGAAGAUCAAAAGGAGGAAAAACAGUAAUAAUAGCAGAAAUUU